RNAcentral lists this small RNA (85 nucleotides) under Flavobacterium sp. 245. RNAcentral's name for it is "Flavo-1 RNA". It matches the Rfam family "Flavo-1 RNA". The record is from RNAcentral. Lineage: Bacteria; Pseudomonadati; Bacteroidota; Flavobacteriia; Flavobacteriales; Flavobacteriaceae.
GUUUAGCCCCGGUAGAAGUGGCAUCCUUUUGUGUCUCGUUCCAAAAAACGAGACACAAAAGAUACAGCGGAUAACGGGACGUCAC